UACGUAGGGGGCAAGCGUUAUCCGGAAUUAUUGGGCGUAAAGAGUGCGUAGGUGGUUACUUAAGCGCGGGGUUUAAGGCAAUGGCUCAACCAUUGUAUGCAUUGGAAACUGGUAGACUUGAGUGCAGGAGAGGAGAGUGGAAUUUCAUGUGUAGCGGUGAAAUGCGUAGAUAUAUGGAGGAACACCGGUGGCGAAAGCGGCUCUCUGGCCUGUAACUGACACUGAGGCUCGAAAGCGUGGGGAGCAAACAGG
RNAcentral lists this ribosomal RNA (252 nucleotides) under uncultured bacterium. RNAcentral's name for it is "partial 16S ribosomal RNA". It matches the Rfam family "Bacterial small subunit ribosomal RNA", at positions 524 to 776 of the family's 1533-position model. The record is from RNAcentral.